RNAcentral lists this ribosomal RNA (433 nucleotides) under uncultured bacterium. Its description in RNAcentral is "partial 16S ribosomal RNA". It matches the Rfam family "Bacterial small subunit ribosomal RNA", at positions 29 to 507 of the family's 1533-position model. The record is from RNAcentral.
AACGAACGCUGGCGGCAUGCCUAACACAUGCAAGUCGAACGAGACCUUCGGGUCUAGUGGCGCACGGGUGCGUAACGCGUGGGAACCUGCCCUUAGGUUCGGAAUAACUCCCCGAAAGGGGUGCUAAUACCGGAUAAUGUCUUCGGACCAAAGAUUUAUCGCCUUUGGAUGGGCCCGCGUUGGAUUAGCUAGUUGGUAGGGUAAAAGCCUACCAAGGCGACGAUCCAUAGCUGGUCUGAGAGGAUGAUCAGCCACACUGGGACUGAGACACGGCCCAGACUCCUACGGGAGGCAGCAGUGGGGAAUAUUGGACAAUGGGCGAAAGACUGAUCCAGCAAUGCCGCGUGAAUGAUGAAGGCCUUAGGGUUGUAAAGCUCUUUUACCCGGGAUGAUAAUGACAGUACCGGGAGAAUAAGCUCCGGCUAACUCCGUG